CUACGGGCCGCUGCAGUGAGGAAUAUUGCACAAUGGGGGGAACCCUGAUGCAGCAACGCCGCGUGGAAGAUGACGCAUUUCGGUGUGUAAACUCCUUUUAUAUGUCAAGAAAAUGACGGUAGCAUAUGAAUAAGCACCGGCUAACUCCGUGCCAGCAGCCGCGGUAAUACGGAGGGUGCAAGCGUUACUCGGAAGCACUGGGCGUAAAGGACGCGUAGGCGGGUUGGAAAGUCAGGUGUGAAAUCCUACAGCUUAACUGUAGAACUGCACUUGAAACUUCUAAUCUAGAGUAUGGGAGGGGGAGAUGGAAUUAGUGGUGUAGGGGUAAAAUCCGUAGGUAUCACUAGGAAUACCUAAAGCGAAGGCGAUCUCCUGGAACAUUACUGACGCUAAGGCGUGAAAGCGUGGGGAGCAAACAGGAUUAGAUACCCGCGUAGUC
RNAcentral lists this ribosomal RNA (439 nucleotides) under uncultured bacterium. Its description in RNAcentral is "partial 16S ribosomal RNA". It matches the Rfam family "Bacterial small subunit ribosomal RNA", at positions 339 to 795 of the family's 1533-position model. The record is from RNAcentral.